Molecule: ribosomal RNA, 1554 nt
Filed under: Salmonella enterica
Lineage: Bacteria; Pseudomonadati; Pseudomonadota; Gammaproteobacteria; Enterobacterales; Enterobacteriaceae
Also listed under: 6 other names
Description: bacterial SSU rRNA
Rfam family: Bacterial small subunit ribosomal RNA
Source: RNAcentral
AAAUUGAAGAGUUUGAUCAUGGCUCAGAUUGAACGCUGGCGGCAGGCCUAACACAUGCAAGUCGAACGGUAACAGGAAGCAGCUUGCUGCUUCGCUGACGAGUGGCGGACGGGUGAGUAAUGUCUGGGAAACUGCCUGAUGGAGGGGGAUAACUACUGGAAACGGUGGCUAAUACCGCAUAACGUCGCAAGACCAAAGAGGGGGACCUUCGGGCCUCUUGCCAUCAGAUGUGCCCAGAUGGGAUUAGCUUGUUGGUGAGGUAACGGCUCACCAAGGCGACGAUCCCUAGCUGGUCUGAGAGGAUGACCAGCCACACUGGAACUGAGACACGGUCCAGACUCCUACGGGAGGCAGCAGUGGGGAAUAUUGCACAAUGGGCGCAAGCCUGAUGCAGCCAUGCCGCGUGUAUGAAGAAGGCCUUCGGGUUGUAAAGUACUUUCAGCGGGGAGGAAGGUGUUGUGGUUAAUAACCACAGCAAUUGACGUUACCCGCAGAAGAAGCACCGGCUAACUCCGUGCCAGCAGCCGCGGUAAUACGGAGGGUGCAAGCGUUAAUCGGAAUUACUGGGCGUAAAGCGCACGCAGGCGGUCUGUCAAGUCGGAUGUGAAAUCCCCGGGCUCAACCUGGGAACUGCAUUCGAAACUGGCAGGCUUGAGUCUUGUAGAGGGGGGUAGAAUUCCAGGUGUAGCGGUGAAAUGCGUAGAGAUCUGGAGGAAUACCGGUGGCGAAGGCGGCCCCCUGGACAAAGACUGACGCUCAGGUGCGAAAGCGUGGGGAGCAAACAGGAUUAGAUACCCUGGUAGUCCACGCCGUAAACGAUGUCUACUUGGAGGUUGUGCCCUUGAGGCGUGGCUUCCGGAGCUAACGCGUUAAGUAGACCGCCUGGGGAGUACGGCCGCAAGGUUAAAACUCAAAUGAAUUGACGGGGGCCCGCACAAGCGGUGGAGCAUGUGGUUUAAUUCGAUGCAACGCGAAGAACCUUACCUGGUCUUGACAUCCACAGAACUUUCCAGAGAUGGAUUGGUGCCUUCGGGAACUGUGAGACAGGUGCUGCAUGGCUGUCGUCAGCUCGUGUUGUGAAAUGUUGGGUUAAGUCCCGCAACGAGCGCAACCCUUAUCCUUUGUUGCCAGCGGUUAGGCCGGGAACUCAAAGGAGACUGCCAGUGAUAAACUGGAGGAAGGUGGGGAUGACGUCAAGUCAUCAUGGCCCUUACGACCAGGGCUACACACGUGCUACAAUGGCGCAUACAAAGAGAAGCGACCUCGCGAGAGCAAGCGGACCUCAUAAAGUGCGUCGUAGUCCGGAUUGGAGUCUGCAACUCGACUCCAUGAAGUCGGAAUCGCUAGUAAUCGUGGAUCAGAAUGCCACGGUGAAUACGUUCCCGGGCCUUGUACACACCGCCCGUCACACCAUGGGAGUGGGUUGCAAAAGAAGUAGGUAGCUUAACCUUCGGGAGGGCGCUUACCACUUUGUGAUUCAUGACUGGGGUGAAGUCGUAACAAGGUAACCGUAGGGGAACCUGCGGUUGGAUCACCUCCUUACCUUAAAGAAGC